Arabidopsis thaliana (thale cress) is the source of this 289-nucleotide long non-coding RNA. RefSeq annotates it as other RNA. The record is from RefSeq. NCBI's taxonomy places the organism in Eukaryota, Viridiplantae, Streptophyta, Magnoliopsida, Brassicales, Brassicaceae. The transcript has a single exon.
AGGCACUGGAUCACCGCCUGCAUAACGCUUUGCUCUUUCUUUCUUCAACAUUGUCUAUAACUAAAAGAUUUACAUUGUGUCGUUGUUCAACAUAAAUCUUUUGGUCCUAUGAGUUUUUUAUACCUUUUAUCUAACUAUGAAUCUCACACUAUGAAACAUGGAACUGGACAUAGUAGAGAAGGAGAAGGAUAAAUUCAUCAGUGACUUCUUAAACGAAAAUUAGCAAAAGUAAAAGUCAAAGCUACUUAGGAGCUCAAGUGGUGAGAAGAAGUGGGGUUUGUUCAUCGCC